Molecule: ribosomal RNA, 504 nt
Filed under: uncultured delta proteobacterium
Lineage: Bacteria; Deltaproteobacteria
Description: bacterial SSU rRNA
Rfam family: Bacterial small subunit ribosomal RNA
Source: RNAcentral
AGAGUUUGAUCAUGGCUCAGAUUGAACGCUGGAGGCGUGCUUAACACAUGCAAGUCGUGCGAGAAAGGGACUUCGGUCCUGAGUAGAGCGGCGCACGGGUGGGUAACGCGUGGGUGAUCUCCCUUGGUGAUCGGGAUAACAGCGGGAAACUGCUGCUAAUACCGGAUAAUCUUCAUGUUUAACUUCAUGGGGUAAAGGUGGCCUCUGCUUGCAAGCUACCACACCAAGAUGAGCCCGCGUCUCAUUAGCUAGUUGGUAGGGUAAUGGCCUACCAAGGCUACGAUGAGUAGCUGGUCUGAGAGGAUGACCAGCCACACUGGGACUGGAACACGGCCCAGACUCCUACGGGAGGCAGCAGUGGGGAAUAUUGCGCAAUGGGCGAAAGCCUGACGCAGCGACGCCUCGUGAGGGAUGAAGGUCUUCGGAUCGUAAACCUCUGUCAAGAGGGAAGAAACCCUUGGGUUCAAAUAGGGCCCUUGGCUGACGGUACCUCAAAAGGAAGCA